This 982-nucleotide long non-coding RNA is filed under the name Prunus dulcis (almond). RNAcentral's name for it is "sRNA ncRNA". The record is from RNAcentral. Lineage: Eukaryota; Viridiplantae; Streptophyta; Magnoliopsida; Rosales; Rosaceae.
CUUGGGCCAAAUACAUUUCUUUCUGUUGAAAACAUACUUGAAGCUGUAGAAUUUAAGUAUCAAGGCCAAGGCUUCAAUUCUCAAAUCCUGGAAUUUCAAGUUUUCUUUAAUGAUCACACUCCAAAUGAUUUUAACAUGCUUUUCAAAUCCCUCCCUCAAAGCAGGCAAUACUAUGCUGCGGGUGUGCCUGGUUCUUUCUGUGGUCGUAUAUUUGCUAAUGCUUCCAUUCACCUUGUUCACUCUUCUUAUGCCCUUCAUUGGCUUUCUAGAGUACCAAAAGAGAUAGUGGACAUAGACAGUCCUGCUUGGAACAAAGGACGAAUCGAUUACUCAAAUUCCACAGAGGAAGUAGUAAGGGCUUAUGAAGCUCAAUAUGCCGAGGACAUGGAGUGCUUCCUGCAUGCCAGGGCACAAGAGAUUGUGUAUGGAGGAUUGAUGGUACUUAUCAUUCCAGGCCGCCCCAAUGGUACCCCUCAUUCUCUGACUCUGUUAAAUGCGGUCCAUCAACUUUUGGGAUCUUGCCUCAUGGACUUGGCUAGGAAGGUAAGCAACUAUCGACUGCUCUUAAGUUUUAUAGAACACCCCAAUAUCUCCCUUGGAAGAAAUGACAGCUAUGUGUGUUUUCUUUAUGCAGGGAGUAGUUAGGGAAGAGAAAGUAGAUUCUUUUAAUAUACCUAUCUAUAACACGUCUCCUCAAGAACUGGAAGCUGCCGUAGAGAAAAAUGGUUGUUUUAGCACAGAGAAAAUGGAAAACUUACCUCGUAUCUCGGCACUUGACAUUGACAAUGUUACUAGACGUGCCCAACUAAUUGCAUAUCAUAUUAGAGCUACCACAGAGGGACUCAUCAAGCAGGAAUUUGGAGAUGAAAUCUUAGAUGAGCUCUUUGGCUUGUAUAGUAAGAAACUUGAACAGCAACCAUCAAUCUUUGAGUCAGGGAAGGCAAUUAACUUUCUUCUUGUGCUCAAACGCAAUGCAAAUUGA